UAAUAAAUUAAUAAAAGAAUUUAAAGGACGCGGUAUCUUGACCGUGAUAAUGUAGCAUAAUCAUUCGCCAUUUAAUUGAUGGAUAGUAUGAAUGGUGUAACGAAUACAACACUGUCUCAAAUGGAAAAUUUGUGAAAUUAGAAUAAUAGUAAAGAUACUAUUUAAAACUGUAAGACGAGAAGACCCUAUAGAGCUUAACUAUAUUUUUCUAAAAAAUAAAAACUUGUUUUUUAUCUUAGAAAAUUAGGUAGUUUAGUUGGGGCGACUACUUUCUAGAUAAAACGAAAGUAAACAAAGUUAAUUAAUUAACUUACUGUAUAAAAAAUAAAUUUAACAGUUAUUAAAAUAGGUAAUAAUGACCCGUUAUUUUCUUAAAACUGAAAUAACGAUUAAUAAAUAAAAGCUACCUUAGGGAUAACAGGGUAAUCUUGUUUUAGAGAUCUUAUCGAAUACAAGGUUUGCCACCUCUAUGUUGAAUUAAGACAUCCUAAAAGUGCAGCAGCUUUUAAGGGUAGGUCUGUUCGACCUAUAAAGU
Molecule: ribosomal RNA, 535 nt
Filed under: Urashimea globosa
Lineage: Eukaryota; Metazoa; Cnidaria; Hydrozoa; Anthoathecata; Halimedusidae
Description: partial 16S ribosomal RNA
Rfam family: Bacterial large subunit ribosomal RNA
Source: RNAcentral